This is a small nuclear RNA of Pantherophis guttatus, 108 nucleotides long. Lineage: Eukaryota; Metazoa; Chordata; Lepidosauria; Squamata; Colubridae. The record is from RefSeq and is a predicted model, not a curated record.
UCACUUUUGCAGCACAUAAACUAAAAUUGAAACGAUAGAAGAUAGAGAAGAUUAGCAUGGCCCCUUUGCACAGAUGAUGUACAAAUUCAUGAACCUUUCGAUAUUUUU